This is a long non-coding RNA of Panicum virgatum (switchgrass), 357 nucleotides long. RefSeq lists it as uncharacterized. The transcript is spliced from 3 exons. The record is from RefSeq and is a predicted model, not a curated record. Lineage: Eukaryota; Viridiplantae; Streptophyta; Magnoliopsida; Poales; Poaceae.
GCUUAUUUGCUCAAUCCACACUAUAGCUUUACUAACCCAUCAAUCUUUGAUGAGCCCAAAAUGAAUGAAGCAUUUAUAGCUUGUGUUGAGCAAUUUUAUUAUCAUGACGAGGACAAGUACGAUCAAGCUGCCAACAUUGAAUUGAAAAGUUUCAAAAUAGAGAAGGAGCAUUUAGCAAGAAGCUAGCAAGGACUUUUGAAAACUUUGAUUACAAUCCAGCCUCAUGGUGGAGGUUGUAUGGAAGCCACACACCAGCUUUACAGAAGAUGGCUACAAGGAUCUUAUCUUUGACAUCAAGUGCUUCUGGUUGUGAAAGAAAUUGGAGUGGAUUUGAAGGGAUACACACUAAGAAGAGGA